Molecule: ribosomal RNA, 515 nt
Filed under: uncultured bacterium
Lineage: Bacteria
Description: partial 16S ribosomal RNA
Rfam family: Bacterial small subunit ribosomal RNA
Source: RNAcentral
GAUGAACGCUGGCGGCGUGCCUAAUACAUGCAAGUCGAGCGAAUGGAUUAAGAGCUUGCUCUUAUGAAGUUAGCGGCGGACGGGUGAGUAACACGUGGGUAACCUGCCCAUAAGACUGGGAUAACUCUGGGAAACCGGGGCUAAUACCGGAUAACAUUUUGAACCGCAUGGUUCGAAAUUGAAAGGCGGCUUCGGCUGUCACUUAUGGAUGGACCCGCGUCGCAUUAGCUAGUUGGUGAGGUAACGGCUCACCAAGGCAACGAUGCGUAGCCGUCCUGAGAGGGUGGUCGGCCACACUGGGACUGAGACACGGCCCAGACUCCUACGGGAGGCAGCAGUAGGGAAUCUUCCGCAAUGGACGAAAGUCUGACGGAGCAACGCCGCGUGAGUGAUGAAGGCUUUCGGGUCGUAAAACUCUGUUGUUAGGGAAGAACAAGUGCUAGUUGAAUAAGCUGGCACCUUGACGGUACCUAACCAGAAAGCCACGGCUAACUACGUGCCAGCAGCCGCAGUAA